CGUGCAGGCGGUGCGGUAAGUUGGAUGUGAAAGCUCCCGGCUCAACUGGGAGAGGUCGUUCAAUACUGCCGCACUAGAGGACGGUAGAGGGAGGUGGAAUUCCCGGUGUAGUGGUGAAAUGCGUAGAUAUCGGGAGGAACACCAGUGGCGAAGGCGGCCUCCUGGGCCGUUCCUGACGCUCAGACGCGAAAGCUAGGGGAGCGAACG
Molecule: ribosomal RNA, 207 nt
Filed under: uncultured bacterium
Lineage: Bacteria
Description: partial 16S ribosomal RNA
Rfam family: Bacterial small subunit ribosomal RNA
Source: RNAcentral